This 373-nucleotide ribosomal RNA is filed under the name uncultured organism. Its description in RNAcentral is "bacterial SSU rRNA". It matches the Rfam family "Bacterial small subunit ribosomal RNA", at positions 526 to 896 of the family's 1533-position model. The record is from RNAcentral.
CGUAGGGGGCUAGCGUUGUCCGGAAUCAUUGGGCGUAAAGCGCGUGUAGGCGGUUCGGUAAGUCGGCUGUGAAAGUCCAGGGCUCAACCCUGGGAUGCCGGUCGAUACUGCCGGACUAGAGUUCGGAAGAGGCGAGUGGAAUUCCCGGUGUAGCGGUGAAAUGCGCAGAUAUCGGGAGGAACACCAAUGGCGAAGGCAGCUCGCUGGGACGUUACUGACGCUGAGACGCGAAAGCGUGGGGAGCAAACAGGAUUAGAUACCCUGGUAGUCCACGCCGUAAACGAUGGGCACUAGGUGUGGGAGGUGUCGACUCCUCCCGUGCCGGAGCUAACGCAUUAAGUGCCCCGCCUGGGGGAGUACGGCCGCAAGGCUA